GAGUUUGAUCCUGGCUCAGAACGUACGCUGGCGGCACGCCUAACACAUGCAAGUCGAACGAAGUAGCAAUACUUAGUGGCAGACGGGUGAGUAACACGUAGGUAUCUGCCCUUUGGCCUGGAAUAACACGAGGAAACUUGUGCUAAUACCGGAUAAGUCUUUACGGAGAAAGCUUUAUGCACCAUUGGAUGAGCCUGCACUUGAUUAGUUUGUUGGUAGGGUAAUGGCCUACCAAGACUUUGAUCAAUAGCUGAUUUGAGAGGAUGAUCAGCCACAUUGGGACUGAGACACGGCCCAAACUCCUACGGGAGGCAGCAGUGGGGAAUCUUGCACAAUGGAGGAAACUCUGAUGCAGCGAUGCCGCGUGAGUGAAGAAGGCCCUUGGGUUGUAAAGCUCUUUCGUCGGGGAAGAAAAUGACUGUACCCGAAUAAGAAGGUCCGGCUAACUUCGUGCCAGCAGCCGCGGUAAUACGAAGGGACCUAGCGUAGUUCGGAAUUACUGGGCUUAAAGAGUUCGUAGGUGGUUGAAAAAGUUGGUGGUGAAAUCCCAGAGCUUAACUCUGGAACUGCCAUCAAAACUUUUCAGCUAGAGUAUGAUAGAGGAAAGCAGAAUUUCUAGUGUAGAGGUGAAAUUCGUAGAUAUUAGAAAGAAUACCAAUUGCGAAGGCAGCUUUCUGGAUCAUUACUGACACUGAGGAACGAAAGCAUGGGUAGCGAAGAGGAUUAGAUACCCUCGUAGUCCAUGCCGUAAACGAUGUGUGUUAGACGUUGGAAAUUUAUUUUCAGUGUCGCAGCGAAAGCGAUAAACACACCGCCUGGGGAGUACGACCGCAAGGUUAAAACUCAAAUGAAUUGACGGGGACCCGCACAAGUAGUGGAGCAUGUGGUUUAAUUCGAAGAUACGCGCAGAACCUUACCAACACUUGACAUGUUCGUCGCGACUCUAAGAGAUUAGAGUUUUCGGUUCGGCCGGACGAAACACAGGUGCUGCAUGGCUGUCGUCAGCUCGUGUCGUGAGAUGUUGGGUUAAGUCCCGCAACGAGCGCAACCCUCACUUUUAGUUGCCAUCAUUAAGUUGGGCACUCUGAAAGAACUGCCAGUGAUAAGCUUGAGGAAGGUGGGGAUGACGUCAAGUCCUCAUGGCCCUUACGUGUUGGGCUACACACGUGCUACAAUGGUAUCUACAACAGGAAGCAAGACUGCGAAGUUAAGCAAAUCCCUAAAAGAUACCUCAGUUCGGAUUGCACUCUGCGACUCGAGUGCAUGAAGCUGGAAUUACUAGUAAUCGUGGAUCAGCGUGCCACGGUGAAUGCGUUCCCGGGUCUUGUACACACCGCCCGUCACACCAUGGGAGUUGGUUCUACCUUAAGGCAAGGUUUCGAACCCUUGACCACGGUAUAGUCAGCGACUGGGGUGAAGUCGUAACAAGGUAACC
RNAcentral lists this ribosomal RNA (1435 nucleotides) under uncultured marine bacterium. Its description in RNAcentral is "bacterial SSU rRNA". It matches the Rfam family "Bacterial small subunit ribosomal RNA". The record is from RNAcentral.